GGUGUAGUAGUUUCAGCAUUGGACUAGGACUCUGAAGACCAGGGUUCAAAUCCCUGCUAAACCA
Molecule: transfer RNA, 64 nt
Filed under: Phrynosoma platyrhinos (Desert horned lizard)
Lineage: Eukaryota; Metazoa; Chordata; Lepidosauria; Squamata; Phrynosomatidae
Description: tRNA-OTHER
Rfam family: tRNA
About the family: Transfer RNA (tRNA) molecules are approximately 80 nucleotides in length. Their secondary structure includes four short double-helical elements and three loops (D, anti-codon, and T loops). Further hydrogen bonds mediate the characteristic L-shaped molecular structure. tRNAs have two regions of fundamental functional importance: the anti-codon, which is responsible for specific mRNA codon recognition, and the 3' end, to which the tRNAs corresponding amino acid is attached (by aminoacyl-tRNA synthetases). tRNAs cope with the degeneracy of the genetic code in two manners: having more than one tRNA (with a specific anti-codon) for a particular amino acid; and 'wobble' base-pairing, i.e. permitting non-standard base-pairing at the 3rd anti-codon position.
Source: RNAcentral